Molecule: unclassified non-coding RNA, 204 nt
Filed under: uncultured Thelephoraceae
Lineage: Eukaryota; Fungi; Basidiomycota; Agaricomycetes; Thelephorales; Thelephoraceae
Description: sequence contains ITS1
Source: RNAcentral
UUGAACUGUCAACAUGAGCUGUUGCUGGUCCUCAAACUGGGGGCAUGUGCACGCUCUGUUUACACAUCCACUAACAUCUGUGCACCCUCUGUAGUUCUAUGGUCCAGGGGAGAGACUCUGUCCUCCUCUCAUAGUUCUACAUUACCACACACACACUGUAAUGAAGUCUUAUGGAAUGUAUUUCGCGUUUAACGCAAUGCAAUA